This 214-nucleotide non-coding RNA is filed under the name Ahrensia marina. The record is from RNAcentral. RNAcentral also lists the same sequence under 1 other name. Lineage: Bacteria; Pseudomonadati; Pseudomonadota; Alphaproteobacteria; Hyphomicrobiales; Ahrensiaceae.
UAUAUGCAUGAGCGCAUUGGUUCCGCGAGUCUUUAAUGGCAGCGGAUUAAAAGGGAACAUGGUGAGGAAUAGCCGAAGGGCGCCGAAUCCAUGACUGCCCCCGCAACUGUGAGCGGAUUGUCGAUUGCAAAUAGCCACUGGGUACGACGUCCCGGGAAGGCGCAAUAGGCUAUAAUCCGUGAGUCAGGAGACCUGCCAAGAAAUCUGCUGUUCG